CUUCCGGCCCUGAGUAGAGUGGCGAACGGGUGAGUAACACGUGGGUGACCUGCCCUCGAGUGGGGGAUAACAUCCCGAAAGGGGUGCUAAUACCGCAUGACAUCCUGUCUUUGAACAGAUGGACAUUAAAGCCGGGGAUCGCAAGACCUGGCGCUCGAGGAGGGGCUCGCGUCCGAUUAGCUAGUUGGUGGGGUAAAGGCCUACCAAGGCGACGAUCGGUAGCCGGCCUGAGAGGGCGGUCGGCCACACUGACACUGACAUACGGGUCAGACUCCUACGGGAGGCAGCAGUCGGGAAUUUUGGGCAAUGGGCGAAAGCCUGACCCAGCAACGCCGCGUGAAGGAUGAAAUCCCUCGGGAUGUAAACCUCGCAAGAACAGGAAGAAUAAGUAAGGGUUAAUAUCUCUUACGAUGACGGUACUGUUUGUAAGCUCCGGCUAACUCCGUGCCAGCAGCCGCGGUAAUACGGGGGGAGCAAGCGUUGUUCGGAUUUACUGGGCGUAAAGGGCGCGUAGGCGGCCACCGCAAGUCGGUUGUGAAAUCUCUGGGCUUAACCCAGAAAGGUCAACCGAUACUGCGGGGCUAGAGUGCAGAAGGGGCAACUGGAAUUCUCGGUGUAGCGGUGAAAUGCGUAGAUAUCGAGAGGAACACUGCGGCGAANGCGGGUUGCUGGGCUGACACUGACGCUGAAGCGCGAAAGCUAGGGGAGCGAACGGGAUUAGAUACCCCGGUAGUCUAGCCUUAA
RNAcentral lists this ribosomal RNA (744 nucleotides) under uncultured bacterium. Its description in RNAcentral is "bacterial SSU rRNA". It matches the Rfam family "Bacterial small subunit ribosomal RNA", at positions 78 to 805 of the family's 1533-position model. The record is from RNAcentral.